RNAcentral lists this ribosomal RNA (402 nucleotides) under uncultured bacterium. Its description in RNAcentral is "bacterial SSU rRNA". It matches the Rfam family "Bacterial small subunit ribosomal RNA", at positions 355 to 774 of the family's 1533-position model. The record is from RNAcentral.
UGGGGAAUAUUGGACAAUGGGCGAAAGCCUGAUCCAGCCAUGCCGCGUGAGUGACGAAGGUCUUCGGAUUGUAAAGCUCUUUUGGCGGGGACGAUAAUGACGGUACCCGCAGAAUAAGCCCCGGCUAACUUCGUGCCAGCAGCCGCGGUAAUACGAAGGGGGCUGGCGUUGUUCGGAAUUACUGGGCGUAAAGCGCACGUAGGCGGAUUGUUAAGUCAGGGGUGAAAUCCCGGGGCUCAACCUCGGAACUGCCUUUGAUACUGGCAAUCUUGAGUCCGGAAGAGGUGAGUGGAAUUCCUAGUGUAGAGGUGAAAUUCGUAGAUAUUAGGAAGAACACCAGUGGCGAAGGCGCCUUACUGGCUCGGUACUGACGCUGAGGUACGAAAGCGUGGGGAGCAAACA